RNAcentral lists this long non-coding RNA (297 nucleotides) under Elaeis guineensis (African oil palm). RNAcentral's name for it is "long non-coding RNA (EGUI_LNC076485)". Lineage: Eukaryota; Viridiplantae; Streptophyta; Magnoliopsida; Arecales; Arecaceae. The record is from RNAcentral.
GGGCUGCUCUUCCCUCCUUGGCGGCUCAGGCUGCAGCAGGGCCCUUGGCGAUCUUCUCUACCCUCAGGUCGGCGUCGAAUGAACCUAUCGAGUCGACCUCAUCGAAUGAGUUCCUCGAUCUCGUCUCGGAGCUGGAUGCAUUCCUCCGUGUCGUGGCCGUGGUCACGAUGGUCGAGGCAGAACUUGUUAGGAUUGCACUUUUCGGGGUGCGUGCACAUCCUCUCUAGCCUUGGGAGCUGCUCUCUGACCUCCAUCAGCACCUGAGUUUUCAAUGCAUUGAGGGGGGCAUAGCUGCAG